UAAGGUCUCAGUGACGCAGAGAAAUCACUAAGCACACCGCCUGGGGAGUACGGCCGCAAGGUUAAAACUCAAAGGAAUUGACGGGGACCCGCACAAGCGGUGGAGCAUGUUCUUUAAUUCGAAGCAACGCGAAGAACCUUACCCACACUUGACAUACCUAGUAUGACUUUCGGAGAUGAUUGUCUUCAGUUCGGCUGGCUAGGAUACAGGUGCUGCAUGGCUGUCGUCAGCUCGUGUCGUGAGAUGUUAGGUUAAGUCCUGCAACGAGCGCAACCCUUAUCGUAUGUUGCCAUCAUUUAGUUGGGCACUCGCGCGAGACUGCCGGUGACAAGCCGGAGGAAGGCGGGGACGACGUCAAGUCAUCAUGGCCCUUACGUGUGGGGCUAGAAACGUGCUACAAUGGAUGUGACAGUGGGCAGCCACUCCGCGAGGAGGAGCUAAUCCUCAAACACAUUCUCAGUUCGGAUUGUACUCUGCAACUCGAGUGCAUGAAGUUGGAAUCGCUAGUAAUCGCACAUCAGCAUGUUGCGGUGAAUACGUUCCCGGGUCUUGUACACACCGCCCGUCAAGUCAUGGGAGUUGGUUCUACCCGACGGCCGUGUGCUAACCAGUUUACUGGAGGCAGCGGACCACGGUAGGAUCAGCGACUGGGACUAAGUCGUAACAAGGUAACCAAGGGCGAA
RNAcentral lists this ribosomal RNA (683 nucleotides) under uncultured bacterium. Its description in RNAcentral is "bacterial SSU rRNA". It matches the Rfam family "Bacterial small subunit ribosomal RNA", at positions 833 to 1510 of the family's 1533-position model. The record is from RNAcentral.